Molecule: transfer RNA, 74 nt
Filed under: Plesiocystis pacifica
Lineage: Bacteria; Pseudomonadati; Myxococcota; Nannocystales; Nannocystaceae
Also listed under: 7 other names
Description: tRNA-Met
Rfam family: tRNA
About the family: Transfer RNA (tRNA) molecules are approximately 80 nucleotides in length. Their secondary structure includes four short double-helical elements and three loops (D, anti-codon, and T loops).
Source: RNAcentral
GCCGAGGUAGCUCAGCUGGUUAGAGCGGAGGAUUCAUAACCCUCAGGUCGGCAGUUCAAGUCUGCCCCCCGGCA